AUUGAACGCUGGCGGCGUGCCUGACACAUGCAAGUCGGACGGUUCUUGUAUCUUCAAGCUUGCUUGCAGGUGCAAGGAUAGUGGCGGACGGGUGAGUAACGCGUGAACAUCUACCCAUUGGAGGGGGACAACCCGUCGAAAGGCGGGCUAAUACCGCGUAAGCCGCGAGGUGAGAGGCUGCCUAUUGGUGGCCGCCGAUGGAUGGGUUCGCGUCCUAUCAGCUGGUUGGUGGGGUAACGGCCUACCAAGGCGAAGACGGGUAGCCGGUCUGAGAGGAUGGCCGGCCACACUGGAACUGAGACACGGUCCAGACUCCUACGGGAGGCAGCAGUGGGGAAUAUUGGGCAAUGGUCGAAAGACUGACCCAGCCAUGCCGCGUGCAGGAUGAAGGCCCUAUGGGUUGUAAACUGCUUUUAGCCGGGAAUAAACACCGUUUUAUAACGGGCCCGAAGGUACCGGCUGAAUAAGCAUCGGCUAACUCCGUGCCAGCAGCCGCGGUAAACACGAG
RNAcentral lists this ribosomal RNA (508 nucleotides) under uncultured bacterium. RNAcentral describes it as "bacterial SSU rRNA". It matches the Rfam family "Bacterial small subunit ribosomal RNA", at positions 30 to 529 of the family's 1533-position model. The record is from RNAcentral.